Hippocampus comes (tiger tail seahorse) is the source of this 851-nucleotide long non-coding RNA. RefSeq lists it as uncharacterized. The record is from RefSeq and is a predicted model, not a curated record. The transcript has 2 exons. NCBI's taxonomy places the organism in Eukaryota, Metazoa, Chordata, Actinopteri, Syngnathiformes, Syngnathidae.
AAGUGGUAACAGGUAAUUCCAUAGUCAAUGCAAAAAUAAUGUUGCUCUUGGAAGUGUCUAGUAGAAACAUGGAUUAAGUGGAGUUAGCUGACAGCAAAGGUGACCAACUGUGUACCAUGUUCGGGCCAACCCUCAACGCUGCCUUGACCAAGUAUUGAUAACCAAGCUCAUCCGGGUAAAAUACAUCAAAAUUUAAAAUUAUGAGUGGAUUUGGAGUGAACGCUGCUUUACCCCAACUCUAUUAUGGAGUACAAUCGCCCCCUCUGGUGGUUAGAUAAUGUCAAUUCCUGGUCUGUGUUCAUCAAUUCAGAUUUUUGAUGGGAGGCUUUUCUCCAGAUGGUCCUCUGUUUCAUAAAAAAAAUAGCUUGUUAGCUUCAUUGAUCACUCUAAAUUGUCCAUAGAUGUAAAUGUGGUUGUAAACAUAAAAAGUCACACCAUAUGUAAAUGUGGGUGUAAACAUAAAAAGUCACACCAGCAGUGUGUGGUUUGACUAAUGUCUCUGUUCUAAGGGCCAGUAAAUGUACACCAUAUAUCAGACAUAAUUUAUCAAAAAUUUGCGCUAUACUGCUAUUGAUAAUGUUUUUUUCAUCCAAUUUUGCACCCCCCCCCAAAAAAAAGAAAUACAGGUUUCAUUUGUUAUUGACUCGUGUGUUCUUAAGAUGACCUCAUGAAAACGAUGAUCUCAUCCAUCGACAGUAAGUCCUUUGACAUUUGAAUACAGGUGGACGUGUCGUCCCUUGGGGCUAUGUGGGUGCUGUUGAAAUCUGUCAAACGCGGGGUUAGUCAGCACGAUGGGCACUUUCAAAAUCCUAAAUCAUUCGAAAUAAAAAAGUGUCAGCGUGAUGUGUGAA